CCUACGGGUUGCAGCAGUAGGGAAUUUUCCACAAUGGACGAAAGUCUGAUGGAGCAACGCCGCGUGAACGAUGAAGGUCUUCGGAUUGUAAAGUUCUGUUGUCAGGGACGAAACCGUGCCGUUUGAAUAAGGCGGCACCUUGACGGUACCUGACGAGAAAGCCACGGCUAACUACGUGCCAGCAGCCGCGGUAAUACGUAGGUGGCAAGCGUUGUCCGGAAUUAUUGGGCGUAAAGCGCGCGCAGGCGGUCGGGUAAGUCUGAUGUUAAAGCCCGGGGCUCAACCCCGGUUCGCAUUGGAAACUGCCUGGCUUGAGUGCAGGAGAGGAAAGCGGUAUUCCACGUGUAGCGGUGAAAUGCGUAGAGGUGUGGAGGAACACCAGUGGCGAAGGCGGCUUUCUGGCCUGUAACUGACGCUCAGAUGCGAAAGCGUGGGGAGCAAACAGGAUUAGAUACCCGGGUAGUC
This 465-nucleotide ribosomal RNA is filed under the name uncultured bacterium. RNAcentral describes it as "bacterial SSU rRNA". It matches the Rfam family "Bacterial small subunit ribosomal RNA", at positions 338 to 795 of the family's 1533-position model. The record is from RNAcentral.